GAGUGGUGACGUUUGACCGAUGGAUGUGAUGACUGAGUAGGAGGAAGAACAGAGUUUCUGGGGACGAAUGAUAACGUUCCUAAUAUGGAUGCUGUACUGCACGGCUUCUUUUUGCCGCCGGCCCUAAGCUGUCGGCUAUAGGUGCGUCCUGCUGGCGGGGAAUACGUCACUCCCAUUUCUUGCGAGAUGCCGGCAGCAAUUAGCCGGCGGUCUGACUGCUUAAUUUUCUCUGGCGGUUGCCUCGCUCUAAAGGACCGCGGUCGUCCGGCGGCAAGACGCUUUUAAAUACAAGGCUACUCUCAUCUUGGUUUGGACACACAUUCGCAUCAGUUCGUCACUCAAUCGCGAGUUACAGCCUGCAGCCUGCAGUUUGCUAGCUACAAAGUCAUCGACUACCAUCGUUUAAAUACCUUGGCCAGAGCAUAACCGGUUAUCUUCACCCAAGAGACCUACUGUUGGUCAAUCGUUUUGGCUUUAAAGGUAAAUGCAUUGUUAGUCACAAUGUCUAGUUACUGGGCCAAAAGGAAAAUACUAUUGAAAAGAGUUGAGAGGGACAAACAGGACAUUCACUUGAAUCACUACAUGCUACAGAAGUUGCAUUGAUUCCAGAAAACGAGGACAAUGUUGAGCCAUCUGUAGACGUCAGAGCUGGUAUGUAAAAUGUAUUGCUGCAGUGCUUAAUUUGUGAUCCUGUAACUAAACUAUACACUUUUAGAUUUUCUAAUUUCUGUUCCCUCUUUCUCAGAACCAGGUUUCUCCCCAGUAUUCCAGACUCCACUUCACAGAGCCAAGAGUUUGAGUACAAGUAAGUGAUGUUAUUUGUGACGUUUUUUGUCUUGGAAACUAUUGCUUCUAUUUAAGAUUAGGAAUCCUUUUAUCCAUAAUCUGUUUUUCAUUAAGGCACUUCACUUUCUGGAUAAAAGGUGUCGAGGUGUGUUGUACAUAUCAUUAGCUUUGCCCAGUUCAAUUAUUGUUUCAUUACUGAGUAUGCAAUCUCUGCAGUGAAAUUAAAGCUGUUAUGUUUGUUCCCCCAGCUCGUCAAGUACUAAGCUUUACACCACCAGCAGCAAAUUUACCCUGGCAGCAUAUGGGUGAAAACGCUGGAGAUUUCCAGAGACUCCAGAAUGAAAACCAAGCUCUGAGGGAGGAGAACCAAGCCCUGAGGGAAUGCAAUGCACAAGCAGCUUCGGAUGAAAGCGGCUCACUUCAAGAGCAGGUGAAGCAAGUAGGGACAAUGUUGAAGACGUUUGCUUUCACUGGGCAAUCAGGUACAAUUUGCAAACAACACCUGUGGUUGUUAGUUUAAUACCUGUACAUGUAGUAGACCUAGAUAUAAAUGUUGUAGUUUAGUUACGCGUUUCCUGAAAGGAGCAUCUGACCGUGAAGGCAGAAAAAGGUGCCGCACAGCUGAGAAGGACCCACAGCCGACCCCUUAAACCUAGGCUGACUACUGACACCCCAGCAUCACUGAACUGGAACACUUUAUUUAUCCUGCAGUCAGUAACAUUAAGAAGCCAAAAGUGCCAGACUACACUCACCAAAUCCACCCUGUUUUUGUUUUUGUAUUUUAACUUUAGUAUUGGCUUAUUUCAUUCUGUCUUAACGAUUCUAUUAUAGUUUGUAAAUCCUAUUUCAUACCUGUUACUUGAUAUUGCAAAUUAACUAGUACCAAAAUUCUACUUUCAUUUCAUCAGUGUGCUUAACUG
Long non-coding RNA from Esox lucius (northern pike), 1706 nucleotides. The record is from Ensembl. NCBI's taxonomy places the organism in Eukaryota, Metazoa, Chordata, Actinopteri, Esociformes, Esocidae.